UACGUAGGGGGCGAGCGUUGUCCGAAGUUACUGGGCGUAAAGCGCGCGUAGGCGGCUUUGCAAGUCGGGUGUGAAAUCCCCAGGCUUAACCUGGGAACUGCAUUCGAGACUGCAUUGCUAGAGUAUGGGAGAGGGAAGUGGAAUUUCCGGUGUAGCGGUGAAAUGCGUAGAUAUCGGAAGGAACAUCAGUGGCGAAAGCGACUUCCUGGACCAAUACUGACGCUCAUGUGCGAAAGCGUGGGGAGCAAACAGG
RNAcentral lists this ribosomal RNA (253 nucleotides) under uncultured bacterium. Its description in RNAcentral is "partial 16S ribosomal RNA". It matches the Rfam family "Bacterial small subunit ribosomal RNA", at positions 524 to 776 of the family's 1533-position model. The record is from RNAcentral. RNAcentral also lists the same sequence under 1 other name.